RNAcentral lists this ribosomal RNA (569 nucleotides) under Alexandrium tamarense. RNAcentral's name for it is "partial Bacterial large subunit ribosomal RNA". It matches the Rfam family "Bacterial large subunit ribosomal RNA", at positions 1952 to 2520 of the family's 2925-position model. Lineage: Eukaryota; Dinophyceae; Gonyaulacales; Pyrocystaceae. The record is from RNAcentral.
UAAGGUAGCGAAAUUCCUUGUCGGGUAAGUUCCGACCUGCACGAAUGGUGUAACGAUCUGGGCACUGUCUCAGCCAUGAGCUCGGUGAAAUUGUAGUAUCGGUGAAGAUGCCGAUUACCCGCAACGGGACGAAAAGACCCCGUGAACCUUUACUGUAACUUGGCAUUGGGUUUCGAUUAACGAUGCGUAGGAUAGGUGGGAGAUUUUGAUCCGUGCGUUCUGGCGUACGGGGAGUCAUCCUUGAAAUACCACCCUUGGCCGUUUAGAUGUCUAACCUGCGUCGGAUAGCCCGGCGGGGGACAGUGUCUGGUGGGUAGUUUGACUGGGGCGGUCGCCUCCCAAAAAGUAACGGAGGCGCGCGAUGGUUCCCUCAGCCUGAUUGGAAACCAGGCGUAGAGCGCAAAAGCAGAAGGGAGCUUGACUGCGAGACCGACGGGUCGAGCAGGUACGAAAGUAGGCUUUAGUGAUCCGGUGGUUCUGCGUGGAAGGGCCAUCGCUCAACGGAUAAAAGGUACUCCGGGGAUAACAGGCUUAUCUCCCCCAAGAGUUCACAUCGACGGGGAGGUUUG